GGGGAUAUAGCUCAGUUGGUAAAGUGCUUGCCCCCUAUGCAAAAGACCCUGGGUUCAAUCCCCAGCACCA
RNAcentral lists this transfer RNA (70 nucleotides) under Urocitellus parryii (Arctic ground squirrel). RNAcentral describes it as "Spermophilus parryii (Arctic ground squirrel) tRNA". It matches the Rfam family "tRNA". From Rfam's summary of the family: Transfer RNA (tRNA) molecules are approximately 80 nucleotides in length. Their secondary structure includes four short double-helical elements and three loops (D, anti-codon, and T loops). The record is from Rfam by way of RNAcentral. RNAcentral also lists the same sequence under 2 other names. Lineage: Eukaryota; Metazoa; Chordata; Mammalia; Rodentia; Sciuridae.